GGAGUUUGGACCGUGUCUCAGUUCCAAUGUGGGGGACCUUCCUCUCAGAACCCCUAGACAUCGUAGCCUUGGUGUGCCGUUACCACUCCAACUAGCUAAUGUCUCGCGAGCCUAUCCGUAUCCACCGAAGCUUUCAAACAAACCUCAUGCGGGGUCUGUUGUUAUGGGGUAUUAGACGUCGUUUCCAACGCUUAUCCCCCUGAUACGGGCAAGUUGCUCACGCGUUACGCACCCUUCCGCCGGUCGCCGACAGGUAUUGCUACCCUCGCUGCCCCUCGACUUGCAUGUGUUAAGCCUGCCGCUAGCGUUCAUC
Molecule: ribosomal RNA, 313 nt
Filed under: uncultured Bacteroidales bacterium
Lineage: Bacteria; Pseudomonadati; Bacteroidota; Bacteroidia; Bacteroidales
Description: partial 16S ribosomal RNA
Source: RNAcentral